Molecule: long non-coding RNA, 557 nt
Filed under: Cricetulus griseus (Chinese hamster)
Lineage: Eukaryota; Metazoa; Chordata; Mammalia; Rodentia; Cricetidae
Description: lncRNA (ENSCGRG00015042208.1)
Source: RNAcentral
AGCAUCCUUGUUAGGUGGUUCACAAAAGUAGUAACUCCAGUUCCAAGAGAGCUUAAGAAAUUUUUGUUAUGGUAAGUAUUUUACUUUUGAAAAGCCUUUCCACUGUAUUUUUUUUCAAAUGGACAAAUGUAUUAACAUUGUUUUUUCUUUUUUAAUCAAGAGUAAUAAUACCCAUGCUUUCAGAAUUUUGGCAAUUAUUUCCUUUUUGCAACAGCUGAUAAAAUUUCCCUGGAGACUACUUACUUUAUAUGGUCUUGAAAAGAUUUCAGAAGUUUAGUCCAUUAUCAUCAUGGUGGGAAUCUUGGUGGCCCAUAAGGCAGAUGUGGUGCUGGAGAAGGAGCUGAGAGUUCUACAUGAACAGCAGACAACAGGAAGUGAACUGUGUGUUUCACACUGGAUGUAGCUUGAGCAUAUAAAACCUCAAAGCCUGCCUCCACAGUGACAUACUUCUUCAAGCAAGUCCACACCUACUUCAACAAAGCCACACCUCCUAACAGUGCCACUCCCUGAGGGCAUUCAAAUACAUGGGCCAUACUGUUUUCAAAACACCACAUAGG